This 646-nucleotide long non-coding RNA is filed under the name Brachypodium distachyon (stiff brome). RNAcentral describes it as "long non-coding RNA (BDIS_LNC003572)". The record is from RNAcentral. Lineage: Eukaryota; Viridiplantae; Streptophyta; Magnoliopsida; Poales; Poaceae.
ACCGAUUUUAUUAGAAACAUAGCAACAUUUUGAAACACUAAACUAAUAUCAUUAGCUCUGUUUUGAAAUGUAAUUUCAUUAUAUACCGAUUGGCUAGCUACCGAUUGGCAUAUGUGUCGCUACUCUUUUCAACAAAGUUGGCCGAAUCUAUUUUUUUACAUAAAUCAAAACCUAGAAGUGCCUCGAACGAACCAUCAAUUUGGUUGACCCCAGUUUUUUUUUUUCAGUCUUGAUUACGUAUGUGCUUUACAAACAAUUUCGGCACUUUUCAGUAAACGAAAGGGUCUCGAACGUACGUUCCUGUACACCCUCCUAAACAUAAAGUGUUUUAGGUUAAAAUUUCCUAUGACUUGGAAAAACAAGGGGGCUACACUUUCACGAUAGCCCGUCCGCAAUCCAGGCGUUUUUUUUGCUGAAUCACAAAUCCCAGUGCCACGCCAUCAAAUCCGGUCCACCAAACGGCUUUGGCUGGGAUUAAGGGGUUCAUUGGCCGGGAUUAGGUAGGUUAGGUCCCGAAAAUCCGAAACUAGAAUGUCACGGUUUGAAUCAGACGAGUUCUACGAGAACAAGAUUUAACAUGGACUUUUCUCCUUACCAGGACUAAAGAGCUACCGGAUCGGGUUGGGGUUAAUUGUAGUAGGAUCUA